GUUAAAUCUUAUGAAUGCACGUUUGCUUUAGGAGAACGUUUCUUAUUGAGGCAGUAAACUACAAGCGUGUAUGCCUGUGAAAAAGAACUUGCUUUUUCAAAUUAAAUUUUGUUUUCUUUGAUGCUUGUCUUUAUCUAUUUUACUCUGCUACUAAUAACUGAAAGAACUGAAAAAAUAAUGUAUUUCUGAAAGUCACUUGCACCCAGAAAAGAUGAUACCUCGUGUAUUUUUAUUUAAAGGAUUGGUGGAACUGUACUUCCUAUACAAAAUUUUACCGAUCUUUGAAUAUACUUGUACAUGAUUGGCUGUACUCCUACAUCUAUUGUGAUAUGUACGCUAUUUUGAAAAGCAGAACUGUUGCUAUGUUGUCAGUUUUUAUGCUAUCUGCAAUUGUUCACGAAUAUAUCGUAGCCAUUUCUCUCAGAUUUAUAUUCCCUCCUUUAUUCACAUUAUUUUACAUAGCUGGUAUUAUAUUCAUUUUUAUGACUCGAAGAAGAACCUCAAACUUCUGGAACUUUUUCCUUUGGUUUACUUUGUUGCUAGGAUAUGGACUUUUACUAGUUUUCUACUCUUUGGAAAUGUCUGCCAGGAUCAACUGCC
Long non-coding RNA from Argiope bruennichi, 600 nucleotides. RefSeq lists it as uncharacterized. The transcript is spliced from 3 exons. The record is from RefSeq and is a predicted model, not a curated record. Lineage: Eukaryota; Metazoa; Arthropoda; Arachnida; Araneae; Araneidae.